Molecule: long non-coding RNA, 346 nt
Organism: Hippocampus zosterae (dwarf seahorse)
Lineage: Eukaryota; Metazoa; Chordata; Actinopteri; Syngnathiformes; Syngnathidae
Exons: 2
Source: RefSeq, a predicted model, not a curated record
CCACCCCCUCUUGGAAGAGCAGACCACAACUUGGAUGAAUUUGGAGGACCAGUUACAGGCCAGCAAUGUCACUGGUGUCUGGAGGGGCCUGAAAACCAUCUCAGGCCAUGACAGCCCAAAGACAUUGACUGAGAAGGACAACGACUGGGCAGAUGGACUGAACCGUUUUUUCAACCGUUUCGACCAGUCGUCUGUCCCUUCCCCCAACCACUCUCACUGAGGACCUAUUCUCCUCCCCCUCCUCUUUCGACCAGCUCUCAUCAACCCAGUCUGUCACCUGGUUCCUGCCUGUCCGUCACAACAGAGCAGGUGAGGAACCAACUGAGGAAGAUGAAUGUGAGGAAGG